GCAGGUUCCACAAUGCCCAAGACGAAGACAGUCAUCAGACACAGAGGCUACAUCCCAAAUGGCACCCUAAAUCCCUGGAUUAGUGAACUACUUUUGACCAGCCCGGGAGUUACAUUAUAUAGGGAUUAGCAUGUUAUUAGAGACUCCUCCAGAGAUGGUCAUCAGUCAGUCUGCUUCUGAAGACGAACGGGCCCGUGCACAACGUCAUACACCCCUUGAUACCUAACUCACCUAGCUUCAAACCAAGGCCUUUUUUUCUUUUUUUUGGACUAAACUAUUGUUAAUGUAAAUAUCUAUAUAUAAUUUCAGAAGAAUGCUUAUUUUGUGUCAUAUUUUUUUUUUAUAAAGGUGAAUAUUGAGCAAUACUAUUUGAACUUCUGGGAACUUUGUUGCAAUCUGCUGGAUUGGCAUUGCUAACUAUUUUAGGGAUUGAAUAUUAUUUUCAAGGUUUGUAACACAUGAUUCAUUUACAUGAACAUGAAUGAAAAAAAAACAGCCUCUUAUUUAAGACAAAUUUUAUACCUUUGAGAGAAAAAAUGUGUAAAUUUAUUGCAUCAUUGUUAGAGUAAAUAAAUCAUUAUAUUCACAAGUGUUUGGUCUCUGUAGUGUUCUGUAAUGGGGUUAUGAUGUCAGCUUAUACAGAGGUAGGAGUAUGAUGUCAUCUUAUACAGAGGUAGGAGUAACAGUGGCCCUGUCGCCAAUAGCACCCUUUUCCCUAUGGGACCUGGUCAAAAAUAGUGCACCGUAAAGGGAUUAGGGUGCCAUUUCAGACACAUUCAAUAUGAUCAACUAACAGGAGUUAUGAUGAGAGGGACGAUAUGAAAUUGGAAAU
Molecule: long non-coding RNA, 832 nt
Organism: Oncorhynchus tshawytscha (Chinook salmon)
Lineage: Eukaryota; Metazoa; Chordata; Actinopteri; Salmoniformes; Salmonidae
Source: Ensembl